CGGCGGACGGGUGAGUAACACGUGGAUAACCUACCUAUAAGACUGGGAUAACUUCGGGAAACCGGAGCUAAUACCGGAUAAUAUUUUGAACCGCAUGGUUCAAAAGUAAAAGACGGUCUUGCUGUCACUUAUAGAUGGAUCCGCGCUGCAUUAGCUAGUUGGUAAGGUAACGGCUUACCAAGGCAACGAUGCAUAGCCGACCUGAGAGGGCGAUCGGCCACACUGGAACUGAGACACGGUCCAG
This 244-nucleotide ribosomal RNA is filed under the name uncultured Staphylococcus sp. RNAcentral describes it as "partial 16S ribosomal RNA". It matches the Rfam family "Bacterial small subunit ribosomal RNA", at positions 96 to 334 of the family's 1533-position model. Lineage: Bacteria; Bacillati; Bacillota; Bacilli; Caryophanales; Staphylococcaceae. The record is from RNAcentral.